UUUCGUCUCAGCCAAUCCCUGUUUUAGAGCUAGAAAUAGCAAGUUAAAAUAAGGCUAGUCCGUUAUCAACUUGAAAAAGUGGCACCGAGUCGGUGCUUUU
This 100-nucleotide small RNA is filed under the name Cloning vector pKill3. RNAcentral's name for it is "gRNA_2". The stretch from base 22 to 100 matches the Rfam family "Trans-activating crRNA". From Rfam's summary of the family: RNA-guided Streptococcus pyogenes Cas9 (SpCas9) is a sequence-specific DNA endonuclease, the Trans-activating CRISPR RNA form an hybrid with the crRNA (crRNA/tracrRNA). The RNA hybrid acts as a guide for the endonuclease Cas9. The record is from RNAcentral.